Molecule: ribosomal RNA, 459 nt
Filed under: uncultured bacterium
Lineage: Bacteria
Description: partial 16S ribosomal RNA
Rfam family: Bacterial small subunit ribosomal RNA
Source: RNAcentral
CCUACGGGUGGCAGCAGUGAGGAAUAUUGGUCAAUGGGCGCGAGCCUGAACCAGCCAAGUCGCGUGAGGGAAGACGGUCCUAUGGAUUGUAAACCUCUUUUGUCGGGGAGCAAAAGACGCCACGCGUGGCGUUCCGAGAGUACCCGAAGAAAAAGCAUCGGCUAACUCCGUGCCAGCAGCCGCGGUAAUACGGAGGAUGCGAGCGUUAUCCGGAUUUAUUGGGUUGAAAGGGUGCGCAGGCGGAAGAUCAAGUCAGUGGUAAAAUUGAGAGGCUCAACCUCUUCGAGCCGUUGAAACUGGUUGUCUUGAGUGAGUGAGAAGUAUGCGGAAUGCGUGGUGUAGCGGUGAAAUGCAUAGAUAUCACGCAGAACUCCGAUUGCGAAGGCAGCAUACCGGCGCUCAACUGACGCUCAUGCACGAAAGUGUGGGUAUCGAACAGGAUUAGAUACCCUAGUAGUC